CGGGGGGAGCAAGCGUUGUUCGGAUUUACUGGGCGUAAAGGGCGCGUAGGCGGUCAGCACAAGUCAGUUGUGAAAUCUCCGAGCUUAACUCGGAAAGGUCAACUGAUACUGUGCGACUAGAGUGCAGAAGGGGCAACUGGAAUUCUCGGUGUAGCGGUGAAAUGCGUGGAUAUCGAGAGGAACACCUGCGGCGAAGGCGGGUUGCUGGGCUGACACUGACGCUGAGGCGCGAAAGCUAGGGGAGCGAACGGGAUUAGAUACCCCGGUAGUCCUAGCCUUAAACGAUGAAUGCUUGGUGUCUGGGGUUAUAUAGUCCCCGGGUGCCGUCGCUAACGCUUUAAGCAUUCCGCCUGGGGAGUACGGUCGCAAGACUG
This 374-nucleotide ribosomal RNA is filed under the name uncultured organism. RNAcentral describes it as "bacterial SSU rRNA". It matches the Rfam family "Bacterial small subunit ribosomal RNA", at positions 526 to 896 of the family's 1533-position model. The record is from RNAcentral.